Molecule: ribosomal RNA, 103 nt
Filed under: Escherichia coli
Lineage: Bacteria; Pseudomonadati; Pseudomonadota; Gammaproteobacteria; Enterobacterales; Enterobacteriaceae
Source: RNAcentral
GCGCGGUGGUCCCACCUGACCCCAUGCCGAACUCAGAAGUGAAACGCCGUAGCGCCGAUGGUAGUGUGGGGUCUCCCCAUGCGAGAGUAGGAAACUGCCAGGC